GUAGGAGGCAAACGUUGUCCGGAUUUACUGGGUGUAAAGGGUGCUCAGGCGGUCUUGUAAGUUAGAAGUGAAAUCUCAGAGCUUAACUCUGAAACUGCUUUUAAUACUGCGAGGCUUGAGUGCAGAAGAGGCGGAUGGAAUUUCUGGUGUAGCAGUGAAAUGCGUAGAUAUCAGAAAGAACACCAGUGGCGAAGGCGGUCCGCUGGUCUGUCACUGACGCUAAAGCACGAAAGCGUGGGGAGCAAACAGGAUUAGAUACCCUGGUAGUCCACGCCUUAAACGAUGAAUACUAGACGUUGGGGUAAAACUCAGUGUCGCAGCUAACGCAUUAAGUAUUCCACCUGGGGAGUACGAUCGCAAGGUUGAA
Molecule: ribosomal RNA, 367 nt
Filed under: uncultured bacterium
Lineage: Bacteria
Description: bacterial SSU rRNA
Rfam family: Bacterial small subunit ribosomal RNA
Source: RNAcentral